CCUACGGGUGGCAGCAGUGAGGAAUAUUGGUCAAUGGACGAGAGUCUGAACCAGCCAUGUAGCGUGAAGGAUGACUGCCCUAUGGGUUGUAAACUUCUUUUAUAUGGGAAUAAAAUGUUCCACGUGUGGGAUUUUGUAUGUAGCAUAUGAAUAAGGAUCGGCUAACCCCGUGCCAGCAGCCGCGGUAAUACGGAGGAUCCGAGCUUUAUCCGGAUUUAUUGGGUUAAAAGGGAGCGUAGGUGUGUUGUUAAGUCAGUUGUGAACGUUUGCGGCUCAACCGUAAAAUUGCAGUUGAAACUGGCAGUCUUGAGUACAGUAGAGGUGGGCGGAAUUCGUGGUGUUGCGGUGAAAUGCUUAGAUAUCGCGAAGAACUCCGAUUGCGAAGGCAGUUCACUGGACUGCAACUGACACUGAGGCUCGAAAGUGUGGGUAUCAAACAGGAUUAGAUACCCGGUAGUC
RNAcentral lists this ribosomal RNA (459 nucleotides) under uncultured bacterium. Its description in RNAcentral is "partial 16S ribosomal RNA". It matches the Rfam family "Bacterial small subunit ribosomal RNA", at positions 338 to 795 of the family's 1533-position model. The record is from RNAcentral.